This 315-nucleotide ribosomal RNA is filed under the name Rhizophagus intraradices. The record is from RNAcentral. Lineage: Eukaryota; Fungi; Glomeromycota; Glomeromycetes; Glomerales; Glomeraceae.
CAGUCGUACCGGCGGAUGAUCAGCCUUUCGGGUGCGAUUCUGUGGGGCGUGAGGAGCUUAACCGCCUUCAUGUUUUGCAUAUUCGUGCACAUUUGGUGUACUUGUCUGUGUGGUGGGUUAACAUCAAUUUCGGUCGUCAUAAAAUGAUUGGAGGAAUGUAGCUUUGAUCUCGUAUCGAAGUGUUAUAGCCCCCUUGCCUGUAUACACUGGUUGGGAUUGAGGUUUCAGUGCACGCUUCGGUUGUGCUUUGAUGCUGGCGUAAUGGCUUUAAGCGUACCCGUCUUGAAACACGGACCAAGGAGUACUAACAUAUAU